UGAACUCAGAUUUUUUUAUAGCAAAUAGUAGAACUGAACCUCUCUUUGCCAUAAUCAGGUUUGUCAAUACAGAGAAGUACUGUUUAAUGACACUUGGCUUCAGUGAAAAGGUGAGUGUGAAUUGCAGAGAUUCCUCCCACUUUCUGUUCCAUGACUCGGGCUCUCAGUGACUCACUGCUCAGUGUCUGCAGCAUGGAUACUCUGACCCCACGUCAUGUUUCUCCUGGUUUAAGUGACCCGGAGACCACCUCAUCCAACAGCCUCACUGCUGAAGUCAGGAAGCACUGCAUGGCUUUCCCAACGUGUGAGGACUGAGGGUUGUUCCACUGCUAAGCUGGAGCAGCUGAGUCAGAGCCAGUUCGCAUACCUGAGACCAGGCUCUGCUUCACUAAUUUAUGGUUGUUUCUCCCCCCCAAUUAUCAAGGUGGAAGCCCUUAGGUCCUACAGAGCUCUUUCUGCCAGUCGCUACUAUUGUGGAGCAGAGUGAGCCCGUUUCUACCAUGAAGCUGUGUCCACCACCAGAUGCACUGUGAGGAAUGCCUUAGGCUGCUGCAGGGAGCCACACAGAAGUGGGGAUGUCAAGCCAUUAAGUUCACGGUGCUCAGUUCAAGUUCACAGUGUAUGGGUCUGACUCCUGAGAUGACCUUGUGACAGCAUGACCCAAAUCAUCUUCCCUUUCUUAUGGACAGCUGAAAUCUUCUCAGGCAUCUUCUGCUUUUGAGGUGUCUAAGAUCACAAAGUUUCUUCCCUUUAAACAAGAAGCUACUCUGUUUUCUGUUUCACGUUCAGCUUUGGCUCUGCUGUAGGAGCUACACUGUUAAGGAGGUCUGUCCACCUUUGCAGAAUCGUGCUGCUUCUCCUUCCUUCUCUGUGAUUGCCCACAGCUUCUACACCACAUUGGCUGAGGAAUUUGAUAUUCAGGGGAAGGAACAGGGGAGGUAGGCCAGGGACUGACUGACAGAUCCUGCAAUGACAGGACCCCAAAGCCAAGAACAUGCAGAAGGGCGCCUUCCAGUGACGCUGCCCCUCUGUGCCGACUGCUCCCUAGGGGAGGAAGUUCCCUCCUUUCUUCAGUUUAUAGAUGCGCCAGAGCUACUCUGAGAGCAUCCCAGAACAGGAACCAGUGUCGGGCCCCCAGAAAGUUAAACUGUGAGAAGUGAAAUGAAAGUGUUCUCAGCCUGGAGUAAGAGGGUGAGAAUGAGGCCGGCGUGCAGACACACAUCAGAUUCCACCUGAGGACAGCCAGCCAGCGACACUGUCGUCAGACUUCAGAAGUAAGUGCCAGAAGCAGCACAAAGACCAAUCUGGGAUCCCAAGAACAAGGGCAGGCGGGGGGCAAGGCUAAGGACUGUGAAAGCAUGCCCCACAGGCCAGCAGUGGAUGUCUCUCUGGAAUUAUCCAGUUUGGUUGAGGUGCCGGACACACGCCAUGGAUGCGGGAGGAUUGAGUGUGGGGAUUUGAUUUCUACAAUCUCGGCUGUGCCGUGUGCCCUUUUCUACUCUUUGUGCAAACUGUCCCAUGGAAACCUGCCACUCACGAUGUCCCAAUAGCUGAAUAGUGUCACAGACCUGGAGCAGUGAAGUCAAGGACCACAUGGGCUAGAUUUUGCCAUGUGAAUGGGAUUCUCGUUUGGGGGGAGGGGUUAGCUUUUUGUAUUUUAGAAACACCUAUAAACUAGUCAUUAUUUUAAAAAGCACACUCUCCUGGGUCUGUUUUUCCCAUGGACACAAACACCCACCCCCACCCCUCUCACUGUCUUCCUUGCACCUGUCCUGGGGAUGGUCUAGAGGCUCAGGCCAAACCAUCAGGGGUCUAGAGUUGAAACUGUCCCUUGGAAAACUGUACAAACAAGAUUCACUCAAUGUAACAUUUUAAGCUCUCACAUGAGCCUCUUUGAAACAAUAAAUAUUUCCAUAAUCAGGGUUUUCUGGUGGCCCACUUUUACAUGCAAAUACAAAUUGUUAGCAUGCAUUAAUUACUUAAGUCAAUUGGUAAAGUUUAUUUUGUAAGUGUAAGUAAUUUUAAGCAAUUUACUAACUUAUAAAUUUCAACUAUGAAAAACCACUACCAGAGCAGUUCUGAGGUAUUACUGUUAAUUCCCUAAAGAAAUGUUGUUGAGGGGGCGUGGAGUGACUGCCAUGCCUUUUGGUGAGCAGUGCUGUCUCCAGUGCUGACUGCAGCCAUGUCCCAGAGAGUCUCAGAAAGUGGCCUGGCUCAUUAACCAGGCUUGUGAAUGUGACUGGUCACCACUGAGCCAACCAGAACCACAGAGAGAGAUGCCACGGAAUGGACCACACAGCUGAGAAAUGACAUGUGUAUGGUGCUGCUUCCAGCUUGGCUUCAUCAAAGCCCACCCUACCCACUCAAGUUGCUUACAAAGAAAAUGUGUGCAAAAAGCAUCCAAAAAGCUUA
Budorcas taxicolor (takin) is the source of this 2412-nucleotide long non-coding RNA. RefSeq lists it as uncharacterized. NCBI's taxonomy places the organism in Eukaryota, Metazoa, Chordata, Mammalia, Artiodactyla, Bovidae. The transcript has 3 exons. The record is from RefSeq and is a predicted model, not a curated record.